This 253-nucleotide ribosomal RNA is filed under the name uncultured bacterium. RNAcentral's name for it is "partial 16S ribosomal RNA". It matches the Rfam family "Bacterial small subunit ribosomal RNA", at positions 524 to 776 of the family's 1533-position model. The record is from RNAcentral.
UACGUAGGUGGCAAGCGUUGUCCGGAUUUACUGGGCGUAAAGAGCGCGCAGGCGGUCGUUCAAGUCGCGUGUGAAAGCCCCCGGCUCAACUGGGGAGGGUCACGCGAUACUGAUCGACUCGAAGGCAGGAGAGGGUAGUGGAAUUCCCGGUGUAGCGGUGAAAUGCGUAGAUAUUGGGAGGAACACCAGUGGCGAAGGCGGCUCACUGGACUGGUACUGACGCUGAGGCGCGAAAGCGUGGGGAGCAAACGGG